This 497-nucleotide ribosomal RNA is filed under the name uncultured bacterium. Its description in RNAcentral is "partial 16S ribosomal RNA". It matches the Rfam family "Bacterial small subunit ribosomal RNA", at positions 28 to 507 of the family's 1533-position model. The record is from RNAcentral.
GAUGAACGCUGGCGGCGUGCCUAAUACAUGCAAGUCGAGCGAACAGAUAAGGAGCUUGCUCCUUUGACGUUAGCGGCGGACGGGUGAGUAACACGUGGAUAACCUACCUAUAAGACUGGGAUAACUUCGGGAAACCGGAGCUAAUACCGGAUAACAUAUUGAACCGCAUGGUUCAAUAGUGAAAGGCGGCUUUGCUGUCACUUAUAGAUGGAUCCGCGCCGUAUUAGCUAGUUGGUAAGGUAACGGCUUACCAAGGCAACGAUACGUAGCCGACCUGAGAGGGUGAUCGGCCACACUGGAGCUGAGACGCGGACCAGACUCCUACGGGAGGCAGCAGUAGGGAAUCUGCGGCAGAGGGCGAGAGCCUGACGGAGCAACGCAGCGUGAGUGAUGAAGGUCUUCGGAGCGUGAAGCUCUGUUAUCAGGGAAGAACAAAUGUGUAAGUAACUGUACAGAACUUGACGGUACCUGAACAGAAAGCCACGGCUAACUACGUG